UGCCAGCAGCCGCGGUAAUACGGGGGAUGCAAGCGUUGUUCGGAAUUAUUGGGCGUAAAGCGUGCGUAGGCGGACUAUUAAGUCUGAUGUGAAAUCCCUCGGCUCAACCGAGGACCUGCAUUGGAUACUGGUAGUCUUGAGUCCCGGAGAGGAUAGCGGAAUUCCUAGUGUAGAGGUGAAAUUCGUAGAUAUUAGGAGGAACACCAGUGGCGAAAGCGGCUAUCUGGCUCAAAACUGACGCUGAGGGACGAAAGUAUGGGUAUUAAAUGGGAUUAGAUA
RNAcentral lists this ribosomal RNA (279 nucleotides) under uncultured bacterium. RNAcentral's name for it is "partial 16S ribosomal RNA". It matches the Rfam family "Bacterial small subunit ribosomal RNA", at positions 506 to 784 of the family's 1533-position model. The record is from RNAcentral.